Molecule: ribosomal RNA, 253 nt
Filed under: uncultured bacterium
Lineage: Bacteria
Also listed under: 1 other name
Description: partial 16S ribosomal RNA
Rfam family: Bacterial small subunit ribosomal RNA
Source: RNAcentral
UACGUAGGCAGCAAGCGUUGUUCGGAAUUACUGGGCGUAAAGAGUGUGUAGGCGGUGUUCUAAGUUUGUCGUGAAAUCUCCCGGCUUAACUGGGAGGGUGCGGCGAAAACUGGAAUGCUAGAGGAUGGGAGAGGUAAGCGGAAUUCCUGGUGUAGCGGUGAAAUGCGUAGAUAUCAGGAGGAACACCUGUGGUGUAGACAGCUUACUGGACCAUUUCUGACGCUGAGACACGAAAGCGUGGGUAGCAAACAGG